GGAUUGUUGGACCUAGGGCUCAGGCUCUAGGUUGUGAGCAUCAUAUCAUCAUUAACGGAGAUUAUAGAGAAUGCAUCAUUGGAGAGCGAGCUGGUGGUCAUUGUUACGGUGGAGUGCUCUUCUUGAAAAACUUUUGGAUUAUAACUUCAACAAAAUAUAUAUAUAUAUAUCUUUGGUAUGCUUGCAGGAAGGUAAUCAAUGGCAGAGAACUUGAGGGUGGUGACCGCAAAGUACUUUUCUUCGAGGGGUUAAUUGGAGAAAAAAAUCACAUGACCGCCAUUUGUUCCUAUGCAUUAAAAUGAAAGCCCAAGGUGUUAC
This 318-nucleotide long non-coding RNA is filed under the name Elaeis guineensis (African oil palm). RNAcentral describes it as "long non-coding RNA (EGUI_LNC014955)". The record is from RNAcentral. Lineage: Eukaryota; Viridiplantae; Streptophyta; Magnoliopsida; Arecales; Arecaceae.